CUACGGGACGCUCCAGUGAGGAAUAUUGCACAAUGGGGGGAACCCUGAUGCAGCAACGCCGCGUGGAGGAUGACGCAUUUCGGUGUGUAAACUCCUUUUAUAUGUCAAGAAAAUGACGGUAGCAUAUGAAUAAGCGCCGGCUAACUCCGUGCCAGCAGCCGCGGUAAUACGGAGGGUGCAAGCGUUACUCGGAAUCACUGGGCGUAAAGGACGCGUAGGCGGGUUGGAAAGUCAGGUGUGAAAUCCUACAGCUUAACUGUAGAACUGCACUUGAAACUUCUAAUCUAGAGUAUGGGAGGGGGAGAUGGAAUUAGUGGUGUAGGGGUAAAAUCCGUAGAUAUCACUAGGAAUACCUAAAGCGAAGGCGAUCUCCUGGAACAUUACUGACGCUAAGGCGUGAAAGCGUGGGGAGCAAACAGGAUUAGAUACCCGUGUAGUC
Molecule: ribosomal RNA, 439 nt
Filed under: uncultured bacterium
Lineage: Bacteria
Description: partial 16S ribosomal RNA
Rfam family: Bacterial small subunit ribosomal RNA
Source: RNAcentral